Molecule: non-coding RNA, 839 nt
Organism: Poecilia reticulata (guppy)
Lineage: Eukaryota; Metazoa; Chordata; Actinopteri; Cyprinodontiformes; Poeciliidae
Source: RefSeq, a predicted model, not a curated record
AUAAGAAAAAAGCAAAACAAACAAACAAAAAAAAAAUGGUGGGACUUCCUUAGACUAAAAAGAGGUGAGGAUUUUUUUGUUACUUAAAAUGUAUAUAGCUUUCAUAUUUCAGGAUUUUCUGUUUCAAUAAACACUUCAAUAAAACAAACAAGAAAAAAAGAAUAUCAGUCAACUAAAUAUUGAGCCAGACCAAAAUUACUUAUUAAAUUUUUAGUGGUGGAUGAAUUAAAUACUUUUUCUUUUAGAUUUCACUAUGCGAAGUAAGAGAGUCGACGAGCGGAAAUAGCACCUAAACGCAGCACCAGUACAAUCCUUGGUGAAUGAACGCUUACAUGGCCAUCACAGGCGAAUCAAAAUUGUAGCGGGCCCAAAGCAACACUGGACUCCCUUUCCCCCCUUUGCUCUCUGCUAUGCUGCAGCAAGCUAAGAAUGUCAUGAAUACUCAGGUCAGUUGAUAUGGCCACCAGUGACAGCGGAUAAACAGUUUUCCUGUAAUGGCAGAGAUUAAGGAAUGUGCGUCUUAUUAUGUGAUGAUUCUCCAGCAUCACUGAGACAACAACACUGGGCCAAUCAGAAGAGAGAAGACAGAAACGAUGGAGGAUUCUUCACAAAAUUAAGAAAAUUCUGGGCAAACUCUGACCAUCCUCAUGAGACCAUCUUGAAAAAACAUAGUAUCAUCAGCCAGAGACUUCUUCAAAUUUGCUGUAAUACAGACCGCUACAAAAGAUUCCUGCCAACAGCAAUCAGUCAUCUGCAAUAACUCGUUGAACAAUCUGAAUGAAUGAGCUACAACAACAUUUAAUUUUCCUUUUGGAUUAAUAAAGUAUUUUUGAAUUGAA